Molecule: non-coding RNA, 1087 nt
Organism: Podarcis lilfordi (Lilford's wall lizard)
Lineage: Eukaryota; Metazoa; Chordata; Lepidosauria; Squamata; Lacertidae
Source: the annotation of a GenBank genome assembly
GUACAUUCAGCAGGGCCCACUGGGAUGGGCUGUAUGAGCAAGUUUUCAAUCAUCAACUCUGUAGCUGAUUUGCUUUCACGGUAAGGACCACGUGGAAAUGCUUCCUUUUCCUGUGCUGUUUGAAAUUCAGCCUCUCCAGGAGGAAAGAGCAUUUCACCUGAUGCCAUGGUGAUGUCAGAUGAUUGACAGGUGGGUCAAAGUGGCUCUUGUCGGCUUGAGGAAAGCAGAAUCCUGCCCACUGGCCUGGUCCACUUCCCCACCCCUGGUGUAUAGGCAUAUACAGCCAGAGCCAGCCCUAUCAUUACGCAGAGUGAAUUGGCUGCCUGAGGCAUAUGUGACGUCAGGUGUGAGGCAGGUACAGAUGGGGGUCCAAAGGAAUGUUUGGGAGCUUGAAAAUGGCUACUACUUGUCCCUUGUCUAGUGAGGUUUACUGCCAGCGCUGGUCAGCUGAUCUGUGAUGACAGCAAGGAUCGUAAAGGAAAACCAUUCUCAGGGACAAGGAAAUACUUUGCCUGACGUCAUGGUGAUGUUGUAUGAUUGGCAAGUGGGUGCCCACACCUACCUGUCAAAGUGUUCCUUGGGGGUUGGGGAAACAUCUGGAUCUGGCCUCCUGGCUAAAUCCAAUCCCUGAUCUCUGUUGCCUGAGAUGGAACAGGCAAUGGUACCCGCACCAAGGUCACAUUAUACUCAGGUUGUAAAGUAACUUGGCCAGGCUCAGUAUAAUGAGGGAAAGUCAUAGCCUUGAAGGUGAACAAAAGCAUGUUUGGAGCCUCACACAUGGUGUUCUAUCAACACAUGGUUUCCAUAGAUUCCCUCAUAGUAGCUCUUCCCACUGAACUAAUCUGGACUCACCUCUCUCUUUGGAGGCAGACAGAUAAUGUAUGAAUUGGAACACUCCAUAUUAGAGUAAAACCUCUUUCUGAUUGGGAGUUGCUACCCUUCUUCAAAUAACCAUCACUUCUCAUUCUCCCCACAUUCACAAAAGGGAUAUGUGGACUUGAAGACAACAACUACAACAACAACACUCAAGAAACACUGCCCACAGGGUGCAGAAGAACAUGUGAGUUUAUUGGCAAGAGCGUGAGAA